This 1456-nucleotide long non-coding RNA is filed under the name Canis lupus dingo (dingo). RNAcentral describes it as "lncRNA (ENSCAFG00020020628.1)". The record is from RNAcentral. Lineage: Eukaryota; Metazoa; Chordata; Mammalia; Carnivora; Canidae.
AAAGAGAGAGACAAGCAGGCCUCCCUCCGGGCCUGGCUGCUGUCCCCUGAACCCCGUGAACAAAUCUCUACCAACAAUCAUAAUAACAAUAAAUAAUAAAUAACAAUAAAACAGUAGUUAACAGUCCCUCCCUAGCAGGAUAACAAUAAAAUGCAAGAGGAGAGAUUUUGAGGAGGGGCCAGGGGACCGAGUCACCAUCACAGCAUCUGAGGGGAAGACAAGGGAGGGAGGAGGCAAGUUAGCUUCUUCCUAUAUGCCCUGGGGGCGCCGGGUUUGGGAACCCCUGUCCGCCCGGGUCCUCCGGCCAGAGGAGGAGAGGGAGAGCCAGGAGGCCGCUCCGCCUGCUGCUUUUUCGCCGGCUUUGGCUUUGUGCGAUCAGGGCAGGGCUCCCACAUGUGGGGGUGAUUAGUGGCUUUGGGGAGUCUCUGGAGUCCCCGUUUUGAAGAGGAGGGCGAGCGAACAGGGUGAGGCGAGGGGGCAGAGGGGGGUGAGGCGGUGGCCGAGCGGGUCGGCCCCUCUGGGGACACAGGUGCCGGGCGGCCGCGCGGGUCGGAAGGAAGCAGGAAAGCACGUACGGCCCCGGGAGCCGGAGAGCAGGGCCGGGUUUCCGGUAGGCCCGGGCAGGUUCCCUUUCUAGGGGCUUUUCAAACACACAAGCAAAGAAAAACGACAACGACAGCAACAACAACAAGACAACAAAAAAACCCAAAGAGCAAAAGAAGGAGAAGAAGGAAGGAGGGGUUGAGGCGCUGAAUUGUCCUUGGUGCGCUUGGAGCCAGCGGAUUUCCAGAAAGGAAGAGGAGACCGCGAUCCCGGAUCCCUCCACGUUCGCCUCAUUCUCUCCAGGCCCGUGCGCCUGCCCGAGCGAGCUCCCAGCCCCCGGAGAGGGCUGCUGGGGCUCCUGGGCCCUCUCCCCGAGCCCAGCGGCCUCCAGCCCUCCUUGGGGGAAUGUCAGGGCCCGGACACCUCUGCACCCUGGCCUAGAUUCUGAGUGGUCUCUCGGACCACCCGAAGAGCCCCCUGGAGUCCCAGUUGCUCACCUCCUCAGCCCCAACCCAGGACAGAGAACUACAGCCGGCAUCACGACAGUCCUGACCACAGACAGGGCCACUUGGCCGGUCGUGGAGAUCCUGGACGUUGCAGCUCAGACUACGCAGACUCCGAGCUCUCCACCUCCCUGUCCAAGCACACACAGUCGCUCCUGGGAAGAAGCCAGUCCAGGCUGGAGAACACAAGAGCCAGGUAGAGUCACUAUAAAGAUGAACUGAAUAUAAAGAGUCAAUAUAGGGGGACGCUUGGGGGGCUCAGAGGUUAAGCAUCUGCCCUCAGCUCAGGGCGUGAUCCUGGGGUCCGGGGAUCGAGUCCCACAUUGGGCUCCCCUCAUGGAGCCUGCUUCUCCCUCUGCCUGUGUCUGUGUGUCUCUCAUGAAUAAAUAAAUAAAAUCUUUUAUUUUAAG